This 79-nucleotide transfer RNA is filed under the name Xylanibacter ruminicola. RNAcentral's name for it is "Prevotella ruminicola tRNA_His_GTG". It matches the Rfam family "tRNA". From Rfam's summary of the family: Transfer RNA (tRNA) molecules are approximately 80 nucleotides in length. Their secondary structure includes four short double-helical elements and three loops (D, anti-codon, and T loops). Further hydrogen bonds mediate the characteristic L-shaped molecular structure. tRNAs have two regions of fundamental functional importance: the anti-codon, which is responsible for specific mRNA codon recognition, and the 3' end, to which the tRNAs corresponding amino acid is attached (by aminoacyl-tRNA synthetases). tRNAs cope with the degeneracy of the genetic code in two manners: having more than one tRNA (with a specific anti-codon) for a particular amino acid; and 'wobble' base-pairing, i.e. permitting non-standard base-pairing at the 3rd anti-codon position. Lineage: Bacteria; Pseudomonadati; Bacteroidota; Bacteroidia; Bacteroidales; Prevotellaceae. RNAcentral also lists the same sequence under 1 other name. The record is from RNAcentral.
GUGCCCGUAGUUCAGUUGGUUAGAGCGUCAGAUUGUGGUUCUGAAUGUCGUGGGUUCGAGUCCCACCGGGCACCCUCCA